CUGGGGAGUACGGUCGCAAGAUUAAAACUCAAAGGAAUUGACGGGGACCCGCACAAGCGGUGGAUGAUGUGGAUUAAUUCGAUGCAACGCGAAAAACCUUACCUACCCUUGACAUGGCUGGAAUCCCUGAGAGAUUGGGGAGUGCUCGAAAGAGAACCAGUACACAGGUGCUGCAUGGCUGUCGUCAGCUCGUGUCGUGAGAUGUUGGGUUAAGUCCCGCAACGAGCGCAACCCUUGUCAUUAGUUGCUACGAAAGGGCACUCUAAUGAGACUGCCGGUG
Molecule: ribosomal RNA, 280 nt
Filed under: Duganella vulcania
Lineage: Bacteria; Pseudomonadati; Pseudomonadota; Betaproteobacteria; Burkholderiales; Oxalobacteraceae
Description: partial 16S ribosomal RNA
Rfam family: Bacterial small subunit ribosomal RNA
Source: RNAcentral